GACGAACGCUGGCGGCGUGCUUAACACAUGCAAGUCGAACGGAAAGGCCCUGCUUUCGUGGGGUGCUCGAGUGGCGAACGGGUGAGUAACACGUGAGUAACCUGCCCUUGACUUUGGGAUAACUUCAGGAAACCGGGGCUACUACCGGAUAGGAGCUCCUGCUGCAUGGUGGGGUUUGGAAAGUUUCGGCGGUUGGGGAUGGACUCGCGGCUUAUCAGCUUGUUGGUGGGGUAGUGGCUUACCAAGGCUUUGACGGGUAGCCGGCCUGCGAGGGUGACCGGCCACAUUGGGACUGCGCUACGGCCCAGAAUCCUACGGGAGGCAGCAGUGGGGAAUAUUGCACAAUGGGCGGAAGCCUGAUGCAGCAACGCCGCGUGCGGGAUGACGGCCUUCGGGUUGUAAACCGCUUUCGCCUGUGACGAAGCGUUAGUGACGGUAAUGGGUAAAGAAGCACCGGCUAACUACGUG
This 468-nucleotide ribosomal RNA is filed under the name uncultured bacterium. RNAcentral's name for it is "partial 16S ribosomal RNA". It matches the Rfam family "Bacterial small subunit ribosomal RNA", at positions 28 to 507 of the family's 1533-position model. The record is from RNAcentral.